Molecule: unclassified non-coding RNA, 336 nt
Filed under: soil metagenome
Description: partial contains 5.8S ribosomal RNA, internal transcribed spacer 2, and large subunit ribosomal RNA
Rfam family: 5.8S ribosomal RNA (bases 1-120)
Source: RNAcentral
GAUGAAGAACGUAGCGAAAUGCGAUAAGUAAUGUGAAUUGCAGAAUUCAGUGAAUCAUCGAAUCUUUGAACGCACAUUGCGCCCGCCAGCAUUCUGGCGGGCAUGCCUGUUCGAGCGUCAUUUCAACCAUCAAGCCCCCGGCUUGUGUUGGGGACCUGCGGCUGCCGCAGGCCCUGAAAAGCAGUGGCGGGCUCGCUGUCACACCGAGCGUAGUAGCAUACAUCUCGCUCUGGGCGUGCUGCGGGUUCCGGCCGUUAAACCACCUUCAUAACCCAAGGUUGACCUCGGAUCAGGUAGGAAGACCCGCUGAACUUAAGCAUAUCAAUAAGCGGAGGA